Molecule: transfer RNA, 69 nt
Filed under: Ictidomys tridecemlineatus (thirteen-lined ground squirrel)
Lineage: Eukaryota; Metazoa; Chordata; Mammalia; Rodentia; Sciuridae
Description: Spermophilus tridecemlineatus (thirteen-lined ground squirrel) tRNA
Rfam family: tRNA
About the family: Transfer RNA (tRNA) molecules are approximately 80 nucleotides in length.
Source: Rfam by way of RNAcentral
GGGGCUGUAGCUCAGUGGUAGAGCACUUGCCUUGCACCUGUGAGGUACUGGGUUCGAUCCUCAGCACCA